CCUACGGGUGGCAGCAGUGAGGAAUAUUGGUCAAUGGACGAGAGUCUGAACCAGCCAAGUAGCGUGAAGGAUGACUGCCCUAUGGGUUGUAAACUUCUUUUAUAAAGGAAUAAAACGAGGCACGUGUGCCUUUUUGCAUGUACUUUAUGAAUAAGGAUCGGCUAACUCCGUGCCAGCAGCCGCGGUAAUACGGAGGAUCCGAGAGUUAUCCGGAUUUAUUGGGUUUAAAGGGAGCGUAGAUGGGUUGUUAAGUCAGUUGGGAAAGUUUGCGGCUCAACCGUAAGAUUGCAAUUGAGACUGGCAGUCUUGAGUACAGUUGAGGUAGGCGGAAUUCGUGGUGUAGCGGUGAAAUGCUUAGAUAUCACGAAGAACCCCGAUUGCGAAGGCAGCUUACUAAACUGUGACUGACAUUGAUGCCCGAAAGUGUGGGUAUCAAACAGGAUUAGAUACCCUAGUAGUC
Molecule: ribosomal RNA, 460 nt
Filed under: uncultured bacterium
Lineage: Bacteria
Description: partial 16S ribosomal RNA
Rfam family: Bacterial small subunit ribosomal RNA
Source: RNAcentral